RNAcentral lists this ribosomal RNA (832 nucleotides) under uncultured bacterium. RNAcentral's name for it is "bacterial SSU rRNA". It matches the Rfam family "Bacterial small subunit ribosomal RNA", at positions 53 to 881 of the family's 1533-position model. The record is from RNAcentral.
ACAUGCAAGUCGAACGAAGCUUGACGGAUGAUUUCUUCGGAAUGAAACCAGAUAUGACUUAGUGGCGGACGGGUGAGUAACACGUGAGCAACCUGCCUUUCAGAGGGGGAUAACGGCUGGAAACGGUCGCUAAUACCGCAUGAUGUGUUCGGAUGGCAUCAUCUGAACAUCAAAGAUUUAUCGCUGAAAGAUGGGCUCGCGUCUGAUUAGAUAGUUGGUGGGGUAACGGCCUACCAAGUCGGCGAUCAGUAGCCGGACUGAGAGGUUGAACGGCCACAUUGGGACUGAGAUACGGCCCAGACUCCUACGGGAGGCAGCAGUGGGGAAUAUUGCACAAUGGGGGAAACCCUGAUGCAGCAACGCCGCGUGAAGGAUGACGGUUUUCGGAUUGUAAACUUCUUUUCUUAGUGACGAAGACAGUGACGGUAGCUAAGGAAUAAGCAUCGGCUAACUACGUGCCAGCAGCCGCGGUAAUACGUAGGAUGCAAGCGUUAUCCGGAUUUACUGGGUGUAAAGGGAGCGCAGGCGGGACUGCAAGUUGGAUGUGAAAUACCGUGGCUUAACCACGGAACUGCAUCCAAAACUGUAGUUCUUGAGUGAAGUAGAGGCAAGCGGAAUUCCGAGUGUAGCGGUGAAAUGCGUAGAUAUUCGGAGGAACACCAGUGGCGAAGGCGGCUUGCUGGGCUUUAACUGACGCUGAGGCUCGAAAGUGUGGGGAGCAAACAGGAUUAGAUACCCUGGUAGUCCACACUGUAAACGAUGAUAGCUAGGUGUGGGGGGUCUGACCCCUUCCGUGCCGGAGUUAACGCAAUAAGCUAUCCACCUGGGGAGU